AUACGGAGGGUGCAAGCGUUACUCGGAAUCACUGGGCGUAAAGCGCAUGCAGGCGGUCUAAUAAGUUGGAAGUGAAAGCCUAUGGCUCAACCAUAGAACUGCUUCCAAAACUGUUAGACUAGAGUCUGGGAGGGGAAGAUGGAAUUAGUAGUGUAGGGGUAAAAUCCGUAGAGAUUACUAGGAAUACCAAAAGCGAAGGCGAUCUUCUGCAACAGUACUGACGCUGAGAUGCGAAAGCGUGGGGAGCAAACAGGAUUAGAAACCCUAGUAGUCC
RNAcentral lists this ribosomal RNA (274 nucleotides) under uncultured bacterium. RNAcentral's name for it is "partial 16S ribosomal RNA". It matches the Rfam family "Bacterial small subunit ribosomal RNA", at positions 523 to 796 of the family's 1533-position model. The record is from RNAcentral.